UAGAUGGCAUUCAUCAAAUAUAUUAUCAUGGAUUUCAACAAAAUUGUUAUAUCGGCUUGUUGGAUGAAAAUGGAUGUUCUUUCGUCACAAACCGCAUUAUACGAAUAAAUCAACGUGAAUAAUGAUGUCCUAAUAGCACUACAUGCUAUUUGCGAUCUAUCGUUUGAAUGGGUGACAAUUCAAAGUUGGCGAAGACACAAACCAGUUCUGGUACCAAUACAAUUUUCCGUCAUAAUUACGGACAAACAGUGUUGUCGUCUCGUCAAAAACAUCAGAGACAAUUUAAAGAAAAAGAAAUAAAACAAACAAUAAUAAAAUACAAAAAUAUUCUUUUACCGAUUACAAAUCGAAGAGUCCAGAUCACGUCAAAGUCAGUCAAGGGGGUUGAAGCUCGGCUAACGCGACAGAGUAUGACGCUCAUCGAUGAUGGAUCCGAUUGAGAAGCCCAGUGGUCGAACAAUGCCGCAAUUAAACGAUACAAUCGUUACGUUGUUCAUUUGGACUGCAAUUUGAAACUGGCGCCUUUUGAAGGAGACCGGCAACCAUUAGACUACCCCCCGUGACAUUCGAGGUAGAGUAUGAUGGUUCCAUCGAGUAGGUAGUGCCUAGACGGGGCUCCACCCAGCACUUAGUUUACGUCGCGAUUGCGGCCCCGGGCACGACCGUUUCCAGGGUACAGUCACGCCCCUGCCAUGCGAGUACUGUACUCCCAUUCGUUGGCCCAUAUCUCAUCUGGUCCAUCGCAUUAGCCUAAUCUGCCAGCAACGUGAACGGAGGAAAAAAAGUAAAAAAAAAAGAAAAAAAAGUACGGCCAUAUCGACGUUGCCACUGACGAGAGAAAUCGUGGCGAGGUGCUGCCACCUUUGUGGCAGGAUCGCGAGGUUGACCGGUUGUAGAAUCGAUCGUUUUUUUUAUUCUUCUCGCAAGCAACAUUGUCUCACCCUCAUAUUUCGACUAGUAGUUCGAUUUUAUUGUCCAAGUGUCUCCGACGUUAAUAUUUCCCAUGCAGUUCACAGUUUGCAGUCGGACCCUGCUUUGCGUCGGCUGGAGACCAGAAUCUCUUCCAUUUGACCGUCUGACUCGCAAGAGGGACCAUUGGAAUGAUAGUUUAUUUCCAUCAUCGAAAAUCCAUUGCAGUUGCCGUCACGUUGCCAAGCUGCUGAUGCUGCAAAUUUUGCUCGGGAGCUGCGGGAUUGAUACUUGAAACUGAAGAGGCUAAAUUAUAUAAAUAGAACAGAAUUAAAAAGAAGAAGA
Nylanderia fulva is the source of this 1254-nucleotide non-coding RNA. The record is from RefSeq and is a predicted model, not a curated record. Lineage: Eukaryota; Metazoa; Arthropoda; Insecta; Hymenoptera; Formicidae.